Molecule: long non-coding RNA, 651 nt
Organism: Lates calcarifer (barramundi perch)
Lineage: Eukaryota; Metazoa; Chordata; Actinopteri; Centropomidae
Exons: 5
Source: RefSeq, a predicted model, not a curated record
UAUUGCCGGUGAACUGUAACGUCAACACUGGAGAGAGGUGGGGCUCCUAACUUACGUUGCUUGUCAUGGCGAGGUUUGAACUUCUUAAUCGUGGUCAAUAGUAAAGACUAACUUCUGAAUCUAAGAAAUUCCGCUCUUAAUUAUGUUAAGAAAAAAAAGAUGGAACAUAGAGGAAUUUGAGCAGCGCCUAAGGAUGGAUGCCCUCCAAGCCUCAGAGAGCAUGCUGGGAGGUUUUUACAAGAUAAACAGCAUGAAGAGCAGAAACUAUCCACAAUGCUACUGUACCUCUCCAGCCAGAGGGAUGGCAGAACAGCCUCUGAUUCGGACUGGUCGGUGGCAACGCUCCCGUUCAACUCGCCCAGUCCUGAUUGCUCCUGAAUGUCGGUCAUCUCCCCGACAAUGAACGUCGGCUCCCCUCCUUUGCUGUUGGCCGAGCUGCUGUCCGGCUGCUUGGCCGCCUGGUUGGCCAGGGUGGGCUCCUCAUCCAGCCUGCUGGAGAUGGACCAGUAGAGGAUGACCACAAUCUCAAAGUCCUCCUUCUCCAGCUGGGCCUGGGACAUGUCCCAGAAGGGUGAAUGCGCAUCAAUCUCAUGGGAGAUCACCAGCGGCGAGACGAGGAAGAGGCGAUCGUCGCCCGUCUCGAAGCCCACG